ACAAAGGAAAAGGUAUCUUUGAUAUAUGCAGGAAAUGUGAUGCUCAGCAAUGAUCCAGAGGCCAAUCCCUUCCUGAGAGACUGUAUAAAAGGAGACGGUGCAUAACACAGAUCCCACAGAUCCAAGCACCCUCCUCCUGCCUUCUACCACUUGGUCUUGACCCAGCUCCAUCACUCCAAGAUGUCCUGCUGCUACUACCCAUGCUGCCCACAGCCCUGCCCACAGCCCUGCCCUGUCCCAGUCUGCCCUAUCCCAGUCUGCCCCCCACCCCCACCCCCACCCCCAACUUGUAUCCGCUACCCAGUCGGGGCUCUGGGCUCACUGGGCUGUGACAGCUCAUCAGGUGGAAGCUCAUCAGGGGGCAGAUCAUCAGGGGGCAGAUCAUCAGGGGGCAGAUCAUCAGGAGGUGGCUCUGGCAGCAAUGGUGGCAAUGGUGGCGCUGGUGGCAUGGUACCAUCUGCUAGCCUCGGCAUAGUCCCUGGGGCCAGCUGUGGUUGCAUCACUCAGCUCCCACCAUCUGAAGUGAUCAUCCAGCCAGCUCCUGCUUGUGUGGUCAUCCCAGGACCAAUGCUCGUCGCCAGCAGUGAACCGACCCGUGUGGGAGGAUAUUCUGCCUGUCUUUCAGGAGGAGGCAAUGGAGGAAACAACGGGGGAAACAAUGGUGGAAACAAUGGGGGUAACAACGGAGGAAGCAAUGGAGGAGGCAAUGGGGGAAACAAUGGAGGAGGCAAUGGGGGAAACUAUUCUGGGGUGUGCUACUAUCCCGGCAAGGUCACCUGUUAUCCCUGUUAAGCUCCAAGUCAAUGGUCACAGGAACUGGGGAUUCACUUUUGAAAAAAGGAUACCCGGAAAACCACAAUACGGAUUCACGGCUGAUGUCAUUGUCCCGGGCCUUGGUGUCAUGAACGCUGAGCUUCCUCACUCCACAUCUCCAUCAAUGGGAUAUGCGGCUGCUCAGCAUUCCUGAUGCUUGUGUCCAUCUACUCUUUAUGCUAAAUUGUCAAUCUGCUGCUUUGACUUCUUGCACUUCUUCUUUUCCACUUGGGCUUCUUUUCAGACCAUCGGAAUGGGUUAGAAACCUGCAAACACACAAGAUAAUAUCCUGUUGUUGUUGUGUGUUUUUUUUCCUCUCUUUCUGACUAUUCUAAAGGACACCCAAGCUUUUGAUGCCUCAAGUGUUCUUCUAAACCCAUGACUACCCUUGAAUACAUUUGCUAUUUUCAUGUGCUCUCUGUUUCAUUCAUUAAAGCAUAUCUGCAUGCAUUGAAAAAAAAA
Long non-coding RNA from Rhineura floridana, 1275 nucleotides. RefSeq lists it as uncharacterized. Lineage: Eukaryota; Metazoa; Chordata; Lepidosauria; Squamata; Rhineuridae. The transcript has 2 exons. The record is from RefSeq and is a predicted model, not a curated record.